GCUAGCCACAAGCUAGCAGCCUUGAGUGAACAACCAAAGCGAAAAAACAAACGGGUCAAAAAAUGGAAUUGGGGCUGUUGCAGCUUCAGUGAAUAGGGACGUGACUCAUAAUUCAUCUCUGCUUCAAUUAUCCAAUCCAAUAAAUACCAUCAAACAAGAGUCAAUAGAAGAAAAAGCUAUUUGGCAUAAGCAGCGAAGAUUUGGCAGCAGGUUUCUGAUGGACACAACCAACAUACUCAACUCUGCUGCUCAACCCACAAAUUCAUUUUACUUACAAAUUUGCCCCCAUUUAAGGGGAAAUAAUGAGGCUUUCCAAAGAUAUAAGAUUUAUUGCCAAGAACCAUAUUUGCAAAGAGAUUUUCUUGCUUGCUGUGCUAAGGUUAUGUGAUGUUAUGUGUGACAGCAUGAGGAAAUGUUUGUGUUAUUUUUAGCAUAUUUCUUAUGUGUUUCUUAUAAUGCAUCAACAUCUUCCUCGUUUCUUUUGUUUUAUUCUCUGUUCAGCCUGCUUGCAUGGUUUCUGCAGCAUGCCUUCCUGUAAGUGUGAAGUAAGUAUGUGUACAAAGCUGUUUGUUUGUUUUCUUGUUUUUCUUGUGUUACAUCUUCCUGCCUGUAAUCAUGUAAUAAUGUUCCCUAAAGGAAAAAAGUUAUGAGGCAGCGAAGCCAGUUUUAUGUCACAGAGGGCUGACUGACUAACACUUCAUGUUACCACAUCAGGAAACACACACAAAAAAGCAAAUGGAAUUAACAGGACCAUACUAAUCACAUAUUCAUUUUAUAUUAGUUUGUUUUCACCCAGAAGUGAAAGAUUAAUUUUUAUACAGUGUAAAUGUUGAAAAAAGCAAAAAC
Oreochromis niloticus (Nile tilapia) is the source of this 846-nucleotide long non-coding RNA. RefSeq lists it as uncharacterized. Lineage: Eukaryota; Metazoa; Chordata; Actinopteri; Cichliformes; Cichlidae. The transcript is spliced from 3 exons. The record is from RefSeq and is a predicted model, not a curated record.